GGAGUUAGCCGGUGCUUCUUCUGUGAGUGAUGUCCUUCCUGCCGGCUAUUAACCCGCAGGCCUUCUUCCUCACUGAAAGUGCUUUACAACCCGAAGGCCUUCUUCACACACGCGGCAUGGCUGGAUCAGGGUUGCCCCCAUUGUCCAAUAUUCCCCACUGCUGCCUCCCGUAGGAGUCUGGGCCGUGUCUCAGUCCCAGUGUGGCUGAUCAUCCUCUCAGACCAGCUACGGAUCGUCGCCUUGGUGAGCCGUUACCUCACCAACCAGCUAAUCCGACAUAGGCUCAUCCGAUAGCGCGAGGCCCGAAGGUCCCCCGCUUUCCCCCGUAGGGCGUAUGCGGUAUUAGCCUGGGUUUCCCCAGGUUAUCCCCCACUACCGGGCAGAUUCCUAUGCAUUACUCACCCGUCCGCCGCUCGCCACCAGGGAGCAAGCUCCCCGUGCUGCCGAUCGACUUGCAUGUGUUAGGCCUGCCGCCAGCGUUCAAUCUGAGCCAGGAUCAAACUCUGA
Molecule: ribosomal RNA, 507 nt
Filed under: uncultured bacterium
Lineage: Bacteria
Description: partial 16S ribosomal RNA
Source: RNAcentral